CCUGUCUGCAGAGAGGACCUAAUCCACUGUGGGUCUCCUCUCUGCUUAGAGCUGGACACUUGUUGGGAUGACCUGCCUGCAGACAG
This is a microRNA precursor of Chlorocebus sabaeus (green monkey), 86 nucleotides long. Lineage: Eukaryota; Metazoa; Chordata; Mammalia; Primates; Cercopithecidae. The record is from Ensembl.